RNAcentral lists this long non-coding RNA (1151 nucleotides) under Macaca fascicularis (crab-eating macaque). Its description in RNAcentral is "lncRNA (ENSMFAG00000062120.1)". Lineage: Eukaryota; Metazoa; Chordata; Mammalia; Primates; Cercopithecidae. The record is from RNAcentral.
UUCACUGGAAUUCUUCUGUAAGAAAGAACUGCUCUUUUUCACCCAUUUAAAUAAUGUUUUGUUUACAUCACUAUGAACUCAUGGAUAUCUAUUAUAUGGGCUAUAAUCUAAUACUGUUAUUUAUUUUGUUGCUCAAACAUUCCAGCUUUGGCCAAUGGGAGCUCUUUCAGGUUGGUCCCUGGGCCCUUUCAAAAAUACCCAUUCUUAAGCGCAUCCUUCCUUUUGGGUACAAGAUGCUCCAGGUUCAUCUUAUACUUUCCCUGCCUCAGCCACUUCUUCAUGGAGUCAGGGCUCACAUUUUGACUCAAGUUAACUUCUCUGAGUCUCAGUUUCCUCAUUUGGAAACAACUGGAACAAUAACACCUACCUUACAGGGUUGAUAUGGGGAUUAAAUAAAUAAUGUAAUGGGGUAAUAUUUAGACGUUUUUAAUGGGCAUUUUUUCUUUGCCCUCUCCAGCAUAAACUCCAACAUAGACUCUGCUUCUCGAGUUACCCUGGGCUGGUACUAUGAAACAAGACGCUUAAGAAAAGAUUUUCCAAAUUCCUUUAUCUGUUCUCACCAACCCAGCCCUCCUCCAUCUUCUCCCAGGUUUCAAAGGGCUCAACAAAAAAGUCAAGGCCUUUUGGGGGCGAUAUUAUCAACUGGCAUUCUCAGAGGUGCCUGCUCUCCAGCAGGAGAAGGGUUAAAUGCUUGGUGAUAACUUCAGCUCUGAACUGCCAAGUCUCUUAGGUUCAGCUCAGCAAUCAAACUGCAUAACCUAAUAGAGCCCCUGGUGCUAUGGGAAACACAAGACACUGAUUUAUAUUUUAAUAUCAGUAAUUUCCACAAGAGCAACAUUUCUGAGUGUCAUUUUACAAUUUCUGUCAAACGCCAGCUCGGUUUUUCUUAAUUCUGUUUAUUGUGUCUGAAUUUGCAACCUCAUCCGCAAUGCAGAUUCUUGAUUCCCAAGAGAGAAGAACAUUUCCAUCUUUCUCUAGAGUGGGAGGGAUGAGGAUGAGGGGCAGAAAUGGGCUUAUAAGAUAAUUGAAAAUGUAAAUGAAGUACUGUUUAUUAAGAAAUGAUUGUGAAGUAUUUUUGUUAAAAAAAAAAAGGCAGUCCUGAACAAACUUAGCAAAAAAUGACAAACAAAAGAGAUGUUUCGGAUCCAAAU